UACGUAGGGUGCGAGCGUUGUCCGGAAUUACUGGGCGUAAAGAGCUCGUAGGUGGUUUGUCGCGUUGUUCGUGAAAACUCACAGCUUAACUGUGGGCGUGCGGGCGAUACGGGCAGACUGGAGUACUGCAGGGGAGACUGGAAUUCCUGGUGUAGCGGUGAAAUGCGCAGAUAUCAGGAGGAACACCGGUGGCGAAGGCGGGUCUCUGGGCCGACACUGACGCUGAGGAGCGAAAGCGUGGGGAGCGAACAGG
Molecule: ribosomal RNA, 253 nt
Filed under: uncultured bacterium
Lineage: Bacteria
Description: partial 16S ribosomal RNA
Rfam family: Bacterial small subunit ribosomal RNA
Source: RNAcentral